UACGGGGGGGGCAAGCGUUGUUCGGAAUUACUGGGCGUAAAGGGCUCGUAGGUGGCCAACUAAGUCAGACGUGAAAUCCCUCAGCUUAACUGGGGAACUGCGUCUGAUACUGGAUGGCUUGAGUUUGGGAGAGGGACGCGGAAUUCCAGGUGUAGCGGUGAAAUUCGUAGAUAUUGGGAAGAACACCGGUGGCGAAGGCGGCGCUCUGGACCGAGACUGACGCUGAGGCGCGAAGGCGUGGGGAGCAAACAGG
Molecule: ribosomal RNA, 253 nt
Filed under: uncultured bacterium
Lineage: Bacteria
Description: partial 16S ribosomal RNA
Rfam family: Bacterial small subunit ribosomal RNA
Source: RNAcentral